GCAGCUUUAGCUCAUCUGGGAGAGCGUCAGACUGAAGUAUUUCAAAAGCCUGAAAUCUGGAGGUACUGUGUUCGAGCCACAGAAGCUGCA
This 90-nucleotide transfer RNA is filed under the name Candida dubliniensis CD36. RNAcentral's name for it is "transfer RNA-Phe (GAA)". It matches the Rfam family "tRNA". From Rfam's summary of the family: Transfer RNA (tRNA) molecules are approximately 80 nucleotides in length. Their secondary structure includes four short double-helical elements and three loops (D, anti-codon, and T loops). Further hydrogen bonds mediate the characteristic L-shaped molecular structure. tRNAs have two regions of fundamental functional importance: the anti-codon, which is responsible for specific mRNA codon recognition, and the 3' end, to which the tRNAs corresponding amino acid is attached (by aminoacyl-tRNA synthetases). tRNAs cope with the degeneracy of the genetic code in two manners: having more than one tRNA (with a specific anti-codon) for a particular amino acid; and 'wobble' base-pairing, i.e. permitting non-standard base-pairing at the 3rd anti-codon position. The record is from RNAcentral. Lineage: Eukaryota; Fungi; Ascomycota; Pichiomycetes; Serinales; Debaryomycetaceae.